GAAAUGCGAUAAGUAGUGUGAAUUGCAGAAUUCAGUGAAUCAUCGAAUCUUUGAACGCACAUUGCGCCCUUUGGUAUUCCAAAGGGCAUGCCUGUUCGAGCGUCAUUUGUACCCUCAAGCUUUGCUUGGUGUUGGGCGUCUUGUCUCUAGCUUUGCUGGAGACUCGCCUUAAAGUAAUUGGCAGCCGGCCUACUGGUUUCGGGGCGCAGCACAAGUCGCACUCUCUAUCAGCAAAGGUCUAGCAUCCAUUAAGCCUUUUUUUCAACUUUUGACCUCGGAUCAGGUAGGGAUACCCGCUGAACUUAAGC
This 308-nucleotide unclassified non-coding RNA is filed under the name plant metagenome. Its description in RNAcentral is "partial contains 5.8S ribosomal RNA, internal transcribed spacer 2, and large subunit ribosomal RNA". The stretch from base 1 to 105 matches the Rfam family "5.8S ribosomal RNA", at positions 50 to 154 of the family's 154-position model. The record is from RNAcentral.